RNAcentral lists this ribosomal RNA (302 nucleotides) under uncultured bacterium. RNAcentral describes it as "partial 16S ribosomal RNA". It matches the Rfam family "Bacterial small subunit ribosomal RNA", at positions 508 to 807 of the family's 1533-position model. The record is from RNAcentral.
GCAGUCGCCGCGGUAAUACAGAGGGUGCGAGCGUUAAUCGGAUUUACUGGGCGUAAAGCGUGCGUAGGCGGCUUUUUAAGUCGGAUGUGAAAUCCCUGAGCUUAACUUAGGAAUUGCAUUCGAUACUGGGAAGCUAGAGUAUGGGAGAGGAUGGUAGAAUUCCAGGUGUAGCGGUGAAAUGCGUAGAGAUCUGGAGGAAUACCGAUGGCGAAGGCAGCCAUCUGGCCUAAUACUGACGCUGAGGUACGAAAGCAUGGGGUGCAAACAGGAUUAGAUACCCCUGUAGUCCCUGUCUCUUAUAC